GAUAAGAACGUAGCGAAAUGCGAUAAGUAAUGUGAAUUGCAGAAUUCAGUGAAUCAUCGAAUCUUUGAACGCACCUUGCACCCUUUGGCAUUCCGAAGGGUAUGCUCGUUUGAGUGUCAUUGUACUCUCACACUUCUGAUCCUUUGGAUUGGGAGCGGUGGACUUGGGUGUUGCUGCUUUACUGUGGCUCACCUCAAACGCAUUCGUGCAACUCUUGGUUGGACAUAGUACGGUGUGAUAAGUAUCUUCGCCGGCACCUCGCAAGAGGGUGGCUGAUCAGGAGCUCUGUGCUUUCCAACUGUCUUCAGACAACAACUGACAACUUGACCUCAAAUCGAGUAGGACCACCCGCUGAACUUAAGCAUAUCAAUAAGCGGAGGA
RNAcentral lists this unclassified non-coding RNA (381 nucleotides) under soil metagenome. Its description in RNAcentral is "partial contains 5.8S ribosomal RNA, internal transcribed spacer 2, and large subunit ribosomal RNA". The stretch from base 4 to 119 matches the Rfam family "5.8S ribosomal RNA", at positions 39 to 154 of the family's 154-position model. The record is from RNAcentral.